Rhodofomes roseus is the source of this 96-nucleotide non-coding RNA. The record is from the annotation of a RefSeq genome assembly. NCBI's taxonomy places the organism in Eukaryota, Fungi, Basidiomycota, Agaricomycetes, Polyporales, Fomitopsidaceae.
UCUCUGUUAGUAUAUCGGUUAGUACACGCGCCUGUCAUGUGACUUAAUCUUCCAUUCUGUGCGCGCGAAAGCGGGGUUCGACUCCCCGACAGAGAG